UUAUACUCGUAUUCGAUAUAUCGUAUAUCCGAUCAGAUAUGGUGAUCAAGUCUCUACCGCAGAACCGUAAAUUUUGCGACUACGAUUGUCAACUCCUUUUGU
RNAcentral lists this non-coding RNA (102 nucleotides) under Alteracholeplasma palmae J233. Its description in RNAcentral is "Acholeplasma palmae J233 Purine riboswitch aptamer". It matches the Rfam family "Purine riboswitch aptamer". Rfam says of the family: Riboswitches are metabolite binding domains within certain messenger RNAs that serve as precision sensors for their corresponding targets. Allosteric rearrangement of mRNA structure is mediated by ligand binding, and this results in modulation of gene expression. Lineage: Bacteria; Bacillati; Mycoplasmatota; Mollicutes; Acholeplasmatales; Acholeplasmataceae. RNAcentral also lists the same sequence under 1 other name. The record is from Rfam by way of RNAcentral.